GACGAACGCUGGCGGCGUGCUUAACACAUGCAAGUCGAACGGAAAGGCCCUGCUUUUGUGGGGUGCUCGAGUGGCGAACGGGUGAGUAACACGUGAGUAACCUGCCCUUGACUUUGGGAUAACUUCAGGAAACUGGGGCUAAUACCGGAUAGGAGCUCCUGCUGCAUGGUGGGGGUUGGAAAGUUUCGGCGGUUGGGGAUGGACUCGCGGCUUAUCAGCUUGUUGGUGGGGUAGUGGCUUACCAAGGCUUUGACGGGUAGCCGGCCUGAGAGGGUGACCGGCCACAUUGGGGCUGAGAUACGGCCCAGACUCCUACGGGAGGCAGCAGUGGGGAAUAUGGCACAAUGGGCGGAAGCCUGAUGCAGCAACGCCGCGUGCGGGAGGACGGCCUUCGGGUUGUAAACCGCUUUCGCCUGUGACGAAGCGUGAGUGACGGUAAUGGGUAAAGAAGCACCGGCUAACUACGU
RNAcentral lists this ribosomal RNA (467 nucleotides) under uncultured bacterium. Its description in RNAcentral is "partial 16S ribosomal RNA". It matches the Rfam family "Bacterial small subunit ribosomal RNA", at positions 28 to 506 of the family's 1533-position model. The record is from RNAcentral.